This 772-nucleotide small RNA is filed under the name Pongo abelii (Sumatran orangutan). RNAcentral's name for it is "processed transcript". Lineage: Eukaryota; Metazoa; Chordata; Mammalia; Primates; Hominidae. The record is from RNAcentral.
AGAGGACAGAGACUGACAUGGAACAGGGGAAGGGCCUGGCUGUCCUCAUCCUGGCUAUCAUUCUUCUUCAAGGUACUUUGGCUCAGUCAAUCAAAGGAGAAACAGGACCCCAGUAGCUAGGGACACAUCUCAAACUGUGACCCAUGAACCAGCAGGAAACCACUUGGUUAAGGUGUAUGACUAUCAAGAAGAUGGUUCGGUACUUCUGACUUGUGAUGCGGAAGCCAAAAAUAUCACGUGGUUUAAAGAUGGGAAGAUGAUAGGCUUCCUAACUGAAAAUAAAAAAAAAUGGAAUCUGGGAAGUAAUACCAAGGACCCUCGAGGGAUGUAUCAGUGUAAAGGAUCACAGAAAAAGUCAAAACCACUCCAAGUGUAUUACAGAAUGUGUCAGAACUGCAUUGAACUAAAUGCAGCCACCAUAUCUGGCUUUCUCUUUGCUGAAAUCAUCAGCAUUUUCGUCCUUGCUGUUGGGGUCUACUUCAUUGCUGGACAGGAUGGAGUUCGCCAGUCGAGAGCUUCAGACAAGCAGACUCUGUUGCCCAAUGACCAGCUCUACCAGCCCCUCAAGGAUCGAGAAGAUGACCAGUACAGCCACCUUCAAGGAAACCAAUUGAGGAGGAAUUGAACUCAGGACUCAGAGUAGUCCAGGUGUUCGCCUCCUAUUCAGUUCCCAGAAUCAAAGCAAUGCAUUUUGGAAAGCUCCUAGCAGAGAGACUUUCAGCCCUAAAUCUAGACUCAAGGUUCCCAGAGGUGACAAAUGGAGAAGAAAGGC